Molecule: non-coding RNA, 73 nt
Organism: Canis lupus familiaris (dog)
Lineage: Eukaryota; Metazoa; Chordata; Mammalia; Carnivora; Canidae
Source: Rfam
GCCUGGCUGGCUUAGUCAGUAGGGCAUGCAACUCUUGAUCUCAAGGUUGUGAGUUCAAGCCCCAUGUUGGGCA